This 490-nucleotide ribosomal RNA is filed under the name uncultured bacterium. RNAcentral's name for it is "partial 16S ribosomal RNA". It matches the Rfam family "Bacterial small subunit ribosomal RNA", at positions 30 to 507 of the family's 1533-position model. The record is from RNAcentral.
AUUGAACGCUGGCGGCAUGCCUUACACAUGCAAGUCGAACGGCAGCAUGAUCUAGCUUGCUCGAUUGAUGGCGAGUGGCGAACGGGUGAGUAAUACAUCGGAACGUGCCCUGUAGUGGGGGAUAACUAGUCGAAAGAUUAGCUAAUACCGCAUACGACCUGAGGGUGAAAGUGGGGGACCGCAAGGCCUCAUGCUAUAGGAGCGGCCGAUGUCUGAUUAGCUAGUUGGUGAGGUAAAGGCUCACCAAGGCGACGAUCAGUAGCUGGUCUGAGAGGACGAUCAGCCACACUGGGACUGAGACACGGCCCAGACUCCUACGGGAGGCAGCAGUGGGGAAUUUUGGACAAUGGGCGAAAGCCUGAUCCAGCAAUGCCGCGUGUGUGAAGAAGGCCUUCGGGUUGUAAAGCACUUUUGUCCGGAAAGAAAUGGCUCUGGUUAAUACCUGGGGUCGAUGACGGUACCGGAAGAAUAAGAACCGGCUAACUACGUG